CAGCGCCACGAGUGGCAAUCGCGAUUAUUGGGCCUAAAGCGUCCGUAGCCGGUUUAGUAAAUCCUUUGUGAAAUCGCCAAGCUUAACUUGGCGGCGCGCAGGGGACACUGCUAAACUCGAGACCGGGAGGAGUUAGAAGUAUUUUGGGGGGAGCGGUAAAAUGCUAUAAUCCCCGAAGGACUACCUAUGGCGAAGGCAUCUAACUAGAACGGAUUUGACGGUGAGGGACGAAAACCAGGGGAGCGAACCGGAUUAGAUACCCGAGUAGUCC
Molecule: ribosomal RNA, 271 nt
Filed under: uncultured archaeon
Lineage: Archaea
Description: partial 16S ribosomal RNA
Rfam family: Archaeal small subunit ribosomal RNA
Source: RNAcentral